Molecule: long non-coding RNA, 437 nt
Organism: Helicoverpa armigera (cotton bollworm)
Lineage: Eukaryota; Metazoa; Arthropoda; Insecta; Lepidoptera; Noctuidae
Exons: 3
Source: RefSeq, a predicted model, not a curated record
UUUAGCGUUUUGAAGAAAUUGGUUUUAUAUUGUCUAUAUUACAAAUACUUUAGAAAAAUAUGGGAUAAUUUGACAGAGAAUUAUAAAGAUGGGUAUAGACCCACUAUCUGCCUUUUUAUUGGGCACCUGUUGUUGUGUAUGUUGGCCUUGUCUAUUGCCGCUGUGUUUGUCUCUGCCCGUGAUCCCGCUACCGAUGUUGAUAAUACGGGAUCAGAGGCCCUGUCCUAGUCCACAGAACCCUCAAUAUAGAGCUGAGACUGGGUUCCCGGGAGGUUUGAGAAGCAGUCUAAGAACAUUCCCAUUUGACUUCAGUGGACAACGAUAUAACGUUAUUUGGGAUAAUAAUGAUUUAGUCUUUCAGCCGACGAGUAAAGCUUUGGUUACUGAGUGAAAUUUCCUUGUAAUUUGUGUAUUUCGUAUUAAAUUAUUUCAAAUGU